RNAcentral lists this ribosomal RNA (464 nucleotides) under uncultured bacterium. Its description in RNAcentral is "partial 16S ribosomal RNA". It matches the Rfam family "Bacterial small subunit ribosomal RNA", at positions 355 to 823 of the family's 1533-position model. The record is from RNAcentral.
UGGGGAAUAUUGCACAAUGGGCGCAAGCCUGAUGCAGCAACGCCGCGUGAGGGACGACGGCCUUCGGGUUGUAAACCUCUUUUAGUAGGGAAGAAGCGAAAGUGACGGUACCUGCAGAAAAAGCACCGGCUAACUACGUGCCAGCAGCCGCGGUAAUACGUAGGGUGCGAGCGUUGUCCGGAAUUAUUGGGCGUAAAGAGCUCGUAGGCGGUCUGUCGCGUCUGCUGUGGAAAAACCCCGAGGCUCAACCUCGGGCCCUGCAGUGGGUACGGGCAGACUAGAUGCGGUAGGGGAGAAUGGAAUUCCUGGUGUAGCGGUGGAAUGCGCAGAUAUCAGGAGGAACACCGAUGGCGAAGGCAGUUCUCUGGGCCGUAAACUGACGCUGAGGAGCGAAAAGCGUGGGGAGCGAACAGGAUUAGAAUACCCUGGGUAGUCCACGCCGUAAAACGUUGGGCGCUAGAUGU